Molecule: non-coding RNA, 74 nt
Organism: Podarcis lilfordi (Lilford's wall lizard)
Lineage: Eukaryota; Metazoa; Chordata; Lepidosauria; Squamata; Lacertidae
Source: the annotation of a GenBank genome assembly
GGCCCGAUAGCUCACUUGGUUAGGGUGUGGUGCUGGUAAAGCCAAGGCUGCAGGUUCAAUCCCUGUUUAGGACA